RNAcentral lists this ribosomal RNA (253 nucleotides) under uncultured bacterium. Its description in RNAcentral is "partial 16S ribosomal RNA". It matches the Rfam family "Bacterial small subunit ribosomal RNA", at positions 524 to 776 of the family's 1533-position model. The record is from RNAcentral.
UACGUAGGGACCGAGCGUUGUCCGGAAUCAUUGGGCGUAAAGAGCGUGUAGGCGGCCUUUUAAGUCCUGCGUGAAAUCCUGCGGCUCAACCGCAGACGGUCGUGGGAAACUGGAAGGCUAGAGUGCGGGAGAGGAGAGUGGAAUUCCCGGUGUAGCGGUGAAAUGCGCAGAUAUCGGGAAGAACACCAGUGGCGAAGGCGGCUCACUGGCCCGAUACUGACGCUGAGGCACGAAAGCGUGGGGAGCAAACAGG